UACGUAUGGUGCAAGCGUUAUCCGGAUUUACUGGGUGUAAAGGGAGCGUAGGCGGCCCUGCAAGUCAGUCGUGAAAGCCCGGGGCUUAACCCCUUGACUGCGCUUGAAACUGUGGGGCUGGAGUACAGGAGAGGCAGGCGGAAUUCCUAGUGUAGCGGUGAAAUGCGUAGAUAUUAGGAAGAACACCGGUGGCGAAGGCGGCCUGCUGGACUGACACUGACGCUGAGGCUCGAAAGCGUGGGGAGCAAAC
This 250-nucleotide ribosomal RNA is filed under the name uncultured prokaryote. RNAcentral's name for it is "partial 16S ribosomal RNA". It matches the Rfam family "Bacterial small subunit ribosomal RNA", at positions 524 to 773 of the family's 1533-position model. The record is from RNAcentral.